RNAcentral lists this ribosomal RNA (449 nucleotides) under uncultured bacterium. RNAcentral's name for it is "partial 16S ribosomal RNA". It matches the Rfam family "Bacterial small subunit ribosomal RNA", at positions 29 to 523 of the family's 1533-position model. The record is from RNAcentral.
AAUGAACGCUGGCGGCAGGCCUAACACAUGCAAGUCGAACGGGUCCUUCGGGACUAGUGGCGGACGGGUGAGUAACGCGUGGGAACGUGCCCUUUGCUACGGAAUAGCCCCGGGAAACUGGGAGGAAUACCGUAUAAGCCCUACGGGGGAAAGAUUUAUCGGCAAAGGAUCGGCCCGCGUUGGAUUAGGUAGUUGGUGGGGUAAUGGCCUACCAAGCCGACGAUCCAUAGCUGGUUUGAGAGGAUGAUCAGCCACACUGGGACUGAGACACGGCCCAGACUCCUACGGGAGGCAGCAGUGGGGAAUCUUAGACAAUGGGGGAAACCCUGAUCUAGCCAUGCCGCGUGAUCGAUGAAGGCCUUAGGGUUGUAAAGAUCUUUCAGGUGGGAAGAUAAUGACUGUACCACCAGAAGAAGCCCCGGCUAACUCCGUGCCAGCAGCCGCAGUAA